RNAcentral lists this ribosomal RNA (392 nucleotides) under Eucampia sp. Its description in RNAcentral is "partial small subunit ribosomal RNA". It matches the Rfam family "Eukaryotic small subunit ribosomal RNA", at positions 582 to 975 of the family's 1831-position model. The record is from RNAcentral. Lineage: Eukaryota; Bacillariophyta; Thalassiosirophyceae; Eucampiales; Eucampiaceae.
AUUCCAGCUCCAAUAGCGUAUACUAAAGUUGUUGCAGUUAAAAAGCUCGUAGUUGAAUUUCUGGUCUUGGACGGCGGUCUACCACAAUUGUGGUACGUACCAACUGUCCGAGUCCAUCCUCGGGGAAAACAUGCCUGUGAUUCAGUUCAUGGGUAUGGGAUCCUCGUCAUUUACUGUGAGCAAAAUAGAGUGUUCAAAGCAGGCUUAUGCCGUUGAAUACAUUAGCAUGGAAUAAUAAGAUAGGAUCUUGAUACUAUUUUGUUGGUUUGCGUGUCGAGAUAAUGAUGAAUAGGGACAGUUGGGGGUAUUUGUAUUCCAUAGUCAGAGGUGAAAUUCUUGGAUUUAUGGAAGACAAACUAAUGCGUAAGCAUCUACCAAGGAUGUUUUCAUCA